GCGUAGGUGAUGGACAACAGGUUGAUAUUCCUGUACUACCGAUAACCGUUUGAGAGAAGGGAUGACACAGUAGGAUAAGCUAAGCACACUGUUGGUUAUGUGUGCCCAAGCAUUGAGGCAGUCAAAGUAGGCAAAUCCGCUUUGAUAAUGCUGGGAUGUGAUGGGGAGCGAAAUUUAGUAGCGAAGUAGCUGAUUUCACACUGUCAAGAAAAGUCUCUAUCGAGGUUAAAGGUACCCGUACCGCAAACCGACACA
This 255-nucleotide ribosomal RNA is filed under the name Clostridioides difficile. RNAcentral describes it as "partial 23S ribosomal RNA". It matches the Rfam family "Bacterial large subunit ribosomal RNA", at positions 1409 to 1661 of the family's 2925-position model. The record is from RNAcentral. Lineage: Bacteria; Bacillati; Bacillota; Clostridia; Peptostreptococcales; Peptostreptococcaceae.